AGUUUGAUCCUGGCUCAGGAUGAACGCUGGCGAGAUGCCUUAUACAUGCAAGUCGUACGAGAUUAAACUCAAGUGGCGGACGGGUGAGUAACACGUAAGAAUUUGCCUUUAGGAGGGGGACAACAACUGGAAACGGUUGCUAAUACCCCAUAUGCUUUCGAGUGAAAUGAAUUAUUUCGCCUAAAGAGAAGCUUGCGGCUGAUUAGCUUGUUGGUAAGGUAAUGGCUUACCAAGGCGACGAUCAGUAUCUGGUUUGAGAGGACGAUCAGACACACUGGAACUGAGACACGGUCCAGACUCCUACGGGAGGCAGCAGUAGGGAAUUUUCCGCAAUGAGCGAAAGCUUGACGGAGCAAUCUCGCGUGAGGGAUGACGGCCUAUGGGUUGUAAACCUCUUUUUUCAGGGAGGAAUAAAUGACGUGUACCUGAAGNAUAAGCAUAAGCG
This 445-nucleotide ribosomal RNA is filed under the name uncultured prokaryote. RNAcentral's name for it is "bacterial SSU rRNA". It matches the Rfam family "Bacterial small subunit ribosomal RNA", at positions 10 to 498 of the family's 1533-position model. The record is from RNAcentral.